UACGUAGGGUCCGAGCGUUGUCCGGAAUUAUUGGGCGUAAAGAGCUCGUAGGCGGUCCGUUAAGUCGGAAGUGAAAUCUCAAGGCUCAACCUUGAAAUCGCUUUCGAUACUGGCGGACUUGAGGCAGGUAGGGGAAGGUGGAAUUCCUGGUGUAGCGGUGAAAUGCGCAGAUAUCAGGAGGAACACCUAUUGCGAAGGCAGCUCGCUGGGACGUUACUGACGCUGAGACGCGAAAGCGUGGGGAGCAAACAGG
This 253-nucleotide ribosomal RNA is filed under the name uncultured bacterium. Its description in RNAcentral is "partial 16S ribosomal RNA". It matches the Rfam family "Bacterial small subunit ribosomal RNA", at positions 524 to 776 of the family's 1533-position model. The record is from RNAcentral.